This 951-nucleotide ribosomal RNA is filed under the name uncultured Burkholderia sp. RNAcentral describes it as "bacterial SSU rRNA". It matches the Rfam family "Bacterial small subunit ribosomal RNA", at positions 8 to 953 of the family's 1533-position model. The record is from RNAcentral. Lineage: Bacteria; Pseudomonadati; Pseudomonadota; Betaproteobacteria; Burkholderiales; Burkholderiaceae.
AGGGUUUGAUUAUGGCUCAGAUUGAACGCUGGCGGCAUGCCUCACACAUGCAAGUCGAACGGCAGCACGGGGGCAACCCUGGUGGCGAGUGGCGAACGGGUGAGUAAUACAUCGGAACGUGUCCUGUAGUGGGGGAUAGCCCGGCGAAAGCCGGAUUAAUACCGCAUACGCUCUGCGGAGGAAAGCGGGGGCUCCUUCGGGACCUCGCGCUACAGGGGCGGCCGAUGGCAGAUUAGCUAGUUGGUGGGGUAAAGGCCUACCAAGGCGACGAUCUGUAGCUGGUCUGAGAGGACGACCAGCCACACUGGGACUGAGACACGGCCCAGACUCCUACGGGAGGCAGCAGUGGGGAAUUUUGGACAAUGGGCGCAAGCCUGAUCCAGCAAUGCCGCGUGUGUGAAGAAGGCCUUCGGGUUGUAAAGCACUUUUGUCCGGAAAGAAAACCUCAGCCCUAAUACGGCGGGGGGAUGACGGUACCGGAAGAAUAAGCACCGGCUAACUACGUGCCAGCAGCCGCGGUAAUACGUAGGGUGCAAGCGUUAAUCGGAAUUACUGGGCGUAAAGCGUGCGCAGGCGGUCCGCUAAGACAGAUGUGAAAUCCCCGGGCUUAACCUGGGAACUGCAUUUGUGACUGGCGGGCUAGAGUAUGGCAGAGGGGGGUAGAAUUCCACGUGUAGCAGUGAAAUGCGUAGAGAUGUGGAGGAAUACCGAUGGCGAAGGCAGCCCCCUAGGCCAAUACUGACGCUCAUGCACGAAAGCGUGGGGAGCAAACAGGAUUAGAUACCCUGGUAGUCCACGCCCUAAACGAUGUCAACUAGUUGUCGGGCCUUCAUUGGCUUGGUAACGUAGCUAACGCGUGAAGUUGACCGCCUGGGGAGUACGGUCGCAAGAUUAAAACUCAAAGGAAUUGACGGGGACCCGCACAAGCGGUGGAUGAUGUGGAUUAAUUCG